CUCCCUCUGUGAAGACAAACAUCAGUGAGCUGCUAAUGCAUUCAAUACGAGAGCAGAGGCCACGCCUCCCCAAGAGCAGAGGCCACGCCUCCCCGAGAGCAGAAGCCACACCUCCCCAAGAGCAGAGGCCACGCCUCCCCGAGAGCAGAGGCCACGCCUCCCCAAGAGAAGAGGCCACGCCUCCCCGAGAGCAGAGGCCACGCCUCCCCAAGAGAAGAGGCCACGCCUCCCCAAGAGCAGGAGCCACACUUUCCCCAUCAUGACACGUGGAGGUCCACAGAGCUCAGUCCUGGGCCCUCUGCUCUAGAACUAGAACUCGGAUGUUAAGUGUCAUCAGAGUUCAUGCAGAUCAAUGGACAAAUGACCUAAAAUCCUGCGUUCAUCUCAGCCGUAAAGACGAGUGAGAAGCCUGUGGGAAUCCACCUCACUGGUGCAUGAUGGGAAAGAGAGUUUCUGCCUGAGUUUCACACCAUCAAACCAAAUGAAAUAAAACAGAAUUUUUUUUUCCUGUAAUCCAGGCACGUCCAAAGUCUGGCAGCGUUCAGAUUUCCAUCAGCUCCUUUCAUAAAGUUAACAUGAGCAUUUCCUAAAAACUGAGUUUGAUUUCCUGAUCAGAACGUUCCGAACUUUCCUGAAACUUUCCAGAUCAUUUCUGAAGGUAAAAAACACCGAAAACUGGACAAUGAGGACCGCCGCUCCAGGACAAGAGGAAACCGGCGGAUUUUUCCUGUGAAAUACAGAAACUGCAGCUGUUUCCAAGGAGAUCAGGAUCAAGAGGAACUAGCAGACUGGACUGGACUAACUAUUACACCAAAUGAACGACGAACAGGGGAGAAUUGAUGGUAAUUCUUCCUGUAGAACCUCAUCUGAGGGUCAAAGAUUCAGCUCAGCCCCGACCAUCAUACUGCCGCCACCCUGUUUAAAGUUCUGAGCUGUUUUUGACCUCCAGAGAGGCUCCUCCCACAGGAGGUCCUGAGGACCGCCCAGCUGAGUUCCGUCUCAGGAUCAGGUUACAUCUGCAGGAGUCUCCUGUGAGGAUCAGCUGUGAGGCAGACCCGGACCCAGACCUGGACCCGGACCUGCCCCUCAUGUGGAGCGGACCGGCGGGUUCUGGAGGUUCUACAGACCCAGUCGAAGUCGCAGGAGUUCCCGUCCUCUCGCUGCGUCUCCAGGUGGUCGCAGACUCCGGGGGUCUUCCGCACAGCCACGAAGGCUACAGCCAUGAAGAAGGAGGCUACAUAGUAGGGCUUCAGCAGCCACUUGUACACCUGCGGCAGGUGGUAGAGGAAGGCCAGCAAUGGCGUCAGCAGCGCCAUUAUGUCUGCAGAUCGGCGCUAUUUCCUCUAGUACUCCCGACGUUUGUUAACCAGCCGUUACUUUAGUAUGAAAGGCUCCGUUAGCAUUGCUACGUGAGCGAGAAGCAAACGAGUGACAGGGAACCUGGUUUCCGGUUCGGAAGUUUCCAAAUAAAAGACUUAAUUUAAAAGGAA
Long non-coding RNA from Oryzias melastigma (Indian medaka), 1490 nucleotides. RefSeq lists it as uncharacterized. The transcript has 2 exons. The record is from RefSeq and is a predicted model, not a curated record. Lineage: Eukaryota; Metazoa; Chordata; Actinopteri; Beloniformes; Adrianichthyidae.